CUAGGAAAAUUUUUGUCGUCCAUUUUUGGUGAUGCACGUGCGCACUGUAGCCUAAUUUCUUCUGUUUUUAGCUGAUGGGACUGGAACCUGGUGUGGUCUUCUGCUGCUGUAGCCCAUCCACUUCAUAUUAUGGUCAAAGUCACUUAGGGAGUGCAACCCAGUACUCAAAAAAUGCAACUUCUUUUCCUCUACUACCACCUCAUGUCUUCCAUGCCCUGGAAACCUAUCUUUGUGACCUUCUUCCCUCCAGUGCUCCAAUAUUGGAUGAGCCAGGCGAAGCGGCUUCAACCUCGGCUCCUCGACCUCCUGGCAAAGGUUACAUCAGCUCUGUAUUACAGUGGCGGUUGUGAUGGCAGUUGUAAAGGCUUGAGAGAUGACGAGAUAAUAAGAGUGAAUGACACGUGAUCUUCAUGUGGCUGGCUCGUACUCUAACACGUCGGCAUGUUCCUGCAUGCACACCUGUCAGCAUUGUGGGUGUCUACAGCACUCGGUUACCUCCUUUCUUUGUCCUCAGGUGCCAAGGCAAUGGUGGUCAAUGGUCUGGAACUGUACCGAAAUUACCCUGGAUCAGGACAAACUGGGGCUGAUUAAGACGAAGGUUGCUCUCACACAAUGCUGCCACAGGAGAUGUACUGACCUACAAGGAGGACUGUGAGCUUUAGUGGCACUGUCUACUGAUAAGAAAACUCACUUAUAAGAA
Anguilla rostrata (American eel) is the source of this 700-nucleotide long non-coding RNA. RefSeq lists it as uncharacterized. The record is from RefSeq and is a predicted model, not a curated record. NCBI's taxonomy places the organism in Eukaryota, Metazoa, Chordata, Actinopteri, Anguilliformes, Anguillidae. The transcript is spliced from 3 exons.